CAAGGGUGCGUUGAGGAGUUGCGGCUGGUGCCUCCCUGCAUCCUGCCUCCUGUGGAAGGACCGGCUCUAUACAGCUAACUGGGACACGGGAGGCCCUCCUCCUGCGCAUCCUUGGGAGGCAGAGCAGAUGAGGACUCAGACUGUGGGAAGCCAUGGAUGUCACCCAGCCAUCGCUUUUCUCCGCGAGGGUCUCACCGAGUCGCCCAGGCUGGCCCUGAACUUGCGCUCCUCCUGCCUCAGCCUCCCGAGUUCCUGCGAUUUCUACCGUGCCUGGCUUCCUGGAUCAGUUUCUGAACGUGCCUUUUCUCUCCGACCCUCCUCCCUGGCUCGGAUUUGGUUUCUGGCAUAAAUACUUUCAGCCUUC
Molecule: long non-coding RNA, 364 nt
Organism: Ictidomys tridecemlineatus (thirteen-lined ground squirrel)
Lineage: Eukaryota; Metazoa; Chordata; Mammalia; Rodentia; Sciuridae
Source: RefSeq, a predicted model, not a curated record